This 497-nucleotide ribosomal RNA is filed under the name uncultured bacterium. Its description in RNAcentral is "partial 16S ribosomal RNA". It matches the Rfam family "Bacterial small subunit ribosomal RNA", at positions 28 to 507 of the family's 1533-position model. The record is from RNAcentral.
GAUGAACGCUGGCGGCGUGCCUAAUACAUGCAAGUCGAGCGAACGGACGAGAAGCUUGCUUCUCUGAUGUUAGCGGCGGACGGGUGAGUAACACGUGGAUAACCUACCUAUAAGACUGGGAUAACUUCGGGAAACCGGAGCUAAUACCGGAUAAUAUUUUGAACCGCAUGGUUCAAAAGUGAAAGGCGGUCUUGCUGUCACUUAUAGAUGGAUCCGCGCUGCAUUAGCUAGUUGGUAAGGUAACGGCUUACCAAGGCAACGAUGCAUAGCCGACCUGAGAGGGUGAUCGCCCACACUGGAGCUGAGACGCGGUCCAGACUCCUACGGGAGGCAGCAGUAGGGAAUCUUCCGCAAUGGGCGAAAGCCUGACGGAGCAACGCCGCGUGAGUGAUGAAGGUCUUCGGAUCGUAAAGCUCUGUUAUUAGGGAAGAACAUAUGUGUAAGUAACUGUGCACAUCUUGACGGUACCUAAUCAGAAAGCCACGGCUAACUACGUG